RNAcentral lists this transfer RNA (77 nucleotides) under Legionella quinlivanii. RNAcentral describes it as "tRNA-Ser". The record is from RNAcentral. RNAcentral also lists the same sequence under 1 other name. Lineage: Bacteria; Pseudomonadati; Pseudomonadota; Gammaproteobacteria; Legionellales; Legionellaceae.
GUCUGGUAGUUUGGAGAUGGUUAUUAAAUCCCAUCCCAAGGGGCAGGUCGGAGGUUCGAAUCCUCUCCGGGACGCCA